UGCGGGGUGGAGCAGUUGGUAGCUCGUUGGGCUCAUAACCCAAAGGUCGCUAGUUCGAGUCUAGCCCCCGCUACUA
RNAcentral lists this transfer RNA (76 nucleotides) under Bacteroidota bacterium. RNAcentral's name for it is "Bacteroidetes bacterium tRNA-Met". It matches the Rfam family "tRNA". From Rfam's summary of the family: Transfer RNA (tRNA) molecules are approximately 80 nucleotides in length. The record is from RNAcentral. Lineage: Bacteria; Pseudomonadati; Bacteroidota. RNAcentral also lists the same sequence under 1 other name.